RNAcentral lists this long non-coding RNA (471 nucleotides) under Salmo trutta (river trout). RNAcentral's name for it is "lncRNA (ENSSTUG00000000048.1)". Lineage: Eukaryota; Metazoa; Chordata; Actinopteri; Salmoniformes; Salmonidae. The record is from RNAcentral.
AUGUACCCAUUAGUAUGUUCUUUGUGUGUGUGUGUGUGUGUGUGUGUGUGUGUGUGUGUGUGUGUGUGUGUGUGUGUGUGUGUGUGUGUGUGUGUGUGUGUGUGUGUGUGUGUGUGUGUGUGUGUGUGUGUGUGUGUGUGUGUGUGUGUGUGUGUGUGUCUAGGGAACACCAGGGGAUCCAGGAGAUGUAGGCCUCCAAGGAAUUCCUGGCCCUUCUGGACCACAGGGUAUAAGAGGAGACUCGGGCCAGCCCGGACCCAGGGGCCUGCAGGGUUUACCUGGACCUCAGGGCACACCUGGAACUAUGGGUGGCAAAGGAUCAACAGGAAGACGAGGGAUGAAUGGACAGAAAGUGCGUUGCCUUUGUUAGAAAUUUGUUAUUCUUCAAUAACACAAACUCCAAAGCAAAUCAGGGGGAGAAAAAUAGGUUUAUUUGAGAAGGAUAAAUCAAGAUGUUAUGCUGGGAGGUAG